AAUAUCAUUUAAUACUCCAACUUUCAAAUUGAGGUUGUUUUAUACAUCAACUUCACAUGUGACCAUUUUAUACAUGAACUAAACGCUGAUCAGGAGUUUGGAAAAUGAGAAUGCAUUGACCAAGCUAACAAGACAUACCUCCAUCUAGGCCUAGACAUAUGGAUUUUGGUUUAGAUAUUU
This 180-nucleotide small RNA is filed under the name Arabidopsis thaliana (thale cress). RNAcentral's name for it is "ATSL169890". Lineage: Eukaryota; Viridiplantae; Streptophyta; Magnoliopsida; Brassicales; Brassicaceae. The record is from RNAcentral.